GUGAGGAAUAUUGGACAAUGGGCGCAAGCCUGAUCCAGCCAUGCCGCGUGCAGGAAGACGCAUCUAUGGUGUGUAAACUGCUUUUGUACGGGAAGAAACACUCCCUCGUGAGGGAGCUUGACGGUACCGUAAGAAUAAGGAUCGGCUAACUCCGUUCCAGCAGCCGCGGUAAUACGGAGGAUCCAAGCGUUAUCCGGAAUCAUAGGGUUUAAAGGGUCAGUAGGAGGUUUAAUAAGUCAGUGGUGAAAGCCCAUCGCUCAACGAUGGAACUGCCAUUGAUACUGUUAGACUUGAAUUACAAGUAAGUAACUAGAAUAUGUAGUGUAGCGGUGAAAUGCUUAGAUAUUACAUGGAAUACCAAUUGCGAAGGCAGGUUACUACUUGUGGAUUGACGCUGAUGGACGAAAGCGUGGGGAGCGAACAGGAUUAGAAACCCUAGUAGUCC
Molecule: ribosomal RNA, 445 nt
Filed under: uncultured bacterium
Lineage: Bacteria
Description: partial 16S ribosomal RNA
Rfam family: Bacterial small subunit ribosomal RNA
Source: RNAcentral